CCAGCCGCACCGCAUCAGCCCCACUCGGUCGAUCCUCCCAAUCUCCUCCUCGUCCUCCCUCAGCGCCGUCACCACAGGACAAGUUCCCCGAUCCCCACCAUUUGCCACUCGCCGCCCGUGCUGCAGCUUCGGCCAUCAAGCUCGCCGCCAAUGAAGACAGCCUCCGCCGCUCCCCCAUGUGCUCCGGCGAGCCCUGCCGCUGUUUCCCUCUCCCUUCUCUCGCGUUCUUUCUCUCUCUCACCCCUCUUUCUCUCUGUUCGAGCAGCAUGUCCCAGCCGCCAUGGAUGAACCCGACACAACCAGAUCCAUUCGACCACGCCGCUCCAGUCCGAGUCCCUGCGUCGCUGAAGCCCCGGCACCGCUACUCCCACCUCCCUUCGCUUGUUUACCCUCUUUCCCUGCUACCUGUUCUCUGAUUUUCCCCCGCCAUGGCCGUCUCUCUGCAGGUCGCCGACGCACCUGACGGGAUCAAGCAACGGGAGCAGGAGAGCUCCGGUCCGCGAGCUCCGGGGCCCCCUUUGCUCCACCUCGGCCUCGGCCUCGGGCAUGCCCGGAGGCCAACCGCAGCCAGCCCCAACCUGGGAGGCCGACACAUCGUCCCCUCUCCUCGCUGGCCACCCUCCCGGACCCAGCGGCUGUGGCGGGCCUGAAGGCAGCGUCCUGCUCGUCGGACUACGAAUUUUUGGUAGGGCGGCGCAGCUGGGUCAACGCGGCAGCGCUCAAUCCAGUUCGACGCAGAGAGGGCGGAGGUUCCGGCCGAUGCAAGGAAACGACGGGAUGUGGUGCAGCGGUCGGAGUUGGACUGGAUAUGCGGCGGGAGGCAGGUUCCAGGGGCGGAUGGGUGGAUCCGUCGAUGGGCGGCCUGCUGGCGAGCGGCGGCGACUUGGGACGGCGGUGAAGCUGCAACUCGGGCAGCGCCAUGGCUCUCUAUACCGAGAAAACGAGACGAGGGGGAGGUCACGGAGGAGCAGCAGGAGAAGGGAAGGAAAAUAUGGCUGCGGAGAAGGCCCAGCUUGACCGAGAGCUUGGCUGGCGGCGAUCUUCGAGGCGGCGGCGCUGGCUGUAGCGGGUGAGCUCCAAGUACAAGCUUUUAAGGCCCUUCCUUCUUCUACUGGAGGAAGCAAUGUCGAAGUGCUAGCGUGAACGGGGGAGAGCUACCUGGACUCCGAGUCUGCCGUUUGGAACGAGGACGCUAUCCGUGCAGAGAUGGAGCUCGGUGUUUUGGUCCGAGUUGAGCAUAUACGCGGUCCCUGAGGUGGUACUGUAUGUUGAGAAUGGCCCAGUAGCCGGAAAGUGCCUCGGUUGCACUAAGCGACGCGGUCUCCGUGAUAGCCGUCACCAGUGAGAACGGGUGCAAUCGGCAUGGCAGCAUCCGAUGCGGCUGGCGUCAGCCGCCGUGUCCUUCGCUUCAGUGGCACAUCCUGUGUCAGUUGAGGCAAUGGCUGCAUCGGCAUGUUGUGCGAUAGCCUGCACCAUGGGCGGCGCCACGGCAGAUGACAGCGGCCACAAGUUUCAGUGCACACUGCAAGAGCUGUUCGAUGACAACGACAUGAUCAUGAUAUGGCCGGCGCCGGCGUACGUCUCUUGUGAGCGUCCAUAGUUUCACGUGAUGGCAAAGUGUGAUGGAAAACUGCGAGUCUUGCACUGCAUCCAGCUGAUGAUCAAGGAACUACAUGCAUGCAUGCAUGUGAUGGACAAACAUGUGUUAUUGAUUGAGAAACCAACCGUUCGUGAUUCGA
Long non-coding RNA from Aegilops tauschii subsp. strangulata, 1739 nucleotides. RefSeq lists it as uncharacterized. The record is from RefSeq and is a predicted model, not a curated record. NCBI's taxonomy places the organism in Eukaryota, Viridiplantae, Streptophyta, Magnoliopsida, Poales, Poaceae.